CUGAAUUAUACACUUGAAUGUGGUUAAGAUGCUAAAUUUUAUGUUACACGUAUUUGGUACAAUUUUUUAAAAAAGAGAUGAGCAAAUAUUUGGAGGUGCCGGACCAUGUCAGCUUCAACCUGACACUCCCUCCUGAUCAAGCAGACACGUGAAGGAGAACCGAAAAGGAGUGACUCACUCACUCCGUGCCAUGGCAGUACUUCAAUGAAUGUAUAAAACUGUAGUCCACAUAAGAAGCCAGGAGGCUGGUAAAGAGAGUGGGCGUGAGGCUGAGGGUGUGUCCCCUGGCUCCCAUGAGGAGGCCCCCAGGAUCCCCCCAUCAGUCUUCGGCGAGGAGCUCAGUGAGCUCAGUUCCAGUGUUUGGGGACAGCUGGGCAAACUCCCUGUCUCCACGUCCUUCGUGCUGCUGGACACCAGAGGACUUGGUGACUGGGCCAUUGCACUGGGCCCACGAGGUGCCUUGCCCAAGGCCGGGGAUGGUGAGGUAUCCGCGGAAUGGCUACAGGGAUGAAUUCUGUUCUGGGGGCGGGAAGGCUGAGCCAGGCCGCCUGCCUUCAAGAUGCUCCCUCUCAGUGGAGGAGAAAAGCAGCCCAUCAUUCAUCACAAACAGCAGAGAAAUGCAGGGGAGGGAAGCAUCUGGAAGCAGGGGUCCUGAUCCAGCACAGGAGAGGAGAGGGGCAGGAAGUGGAGUCACUGAAACUGCCUUUGCCAAGGUCAUGGAUGCCCUCCAUCUCGUCACUUCCAAAGGGCACUUUUCAGGCUUCAUCUCCUGGCCCUCUCAGGAGUGUGGGGCCUGCAGCCCACUCCCGUCCUCCUGAGAACCCAUCGCACUCUCCUGGCCGCCUUCCUCCUUCCCUGGUGCUCCUGCUCUGAGCCUUUGCUCCUCCUCCUCCUCCAUUUAAGCCCUGGAGUUGUUCUCCAAAUGCUCCUGCCCGCCGGGGCUCUUACUCUCUCCAGCUCAUGUGGCAUCUCUGCCUGCCAGUCUCCCAAAAGUGCCCCGAGGUGAACCCUGGAUUUCCCCAAGCUGUUCUACCUGCUUCUCCACCAGGUACCACCAUUCACUCGGUUGCUCGAGCCCCGAACCUGGUAUCCAUCCUUGAUUUCUCCCUUUCUCUCAUCCUCUGCAUUGCACACAUCAGCAAGCCCCAGUGUCCUUCUGCUGCCCCCGUAUUUCCAGUCUGCCUGCUUCUCCCUUUCUUGGGAGGGAGCCACCAUCAGCUGGCUGGACGGCUGCGCGGUCUCCUGAACUGCUUUCCCACCCUCCGUGCCUCUUCCCCACUAAAAUGCCUUUGUCACCAGACAGCUGGAGUCAUCUCUUUUUUCCAAAAGCUCACUUCUGUAAAUCCAAGCAAAGCCGCCCCUUCUUGAAACCGUCAUGCAGCUUCCUGCCGGUGGCGGACUAGCACCAUCUCACCCGCGCACCAGGCCGCCUGGCUGGCUGCUGCACCGGCCCCUCCGCCCGCCCUGGCCUGGCUCCCCACCUCUCCCUCUGCCUCUGCCCGGCCUGCGGCCUCACUUCCCCUUUCUCUGACGCACCAAGCGCUCUGUCCUCUGGUGUGUCUGCACCUGUUCUCUGCCCGCUCCUCCCCCAGCUUUCUCAGGGGCGGGCUCCUUCAGCUUCAGUAUCCCCUCCCCUUGCUGGACUGCACUAUCUCAACCAGC
Molecule: long non-coding RNA, 1662 nt
Organism: Equus caballus (horse)
Lineage: Eukaryota; Metazoa; Chordata; Mammalia; Perissodactyla; Equidae
Source: Ensembl